AUGCCUAACACAUGCAAGUCGAACGGAAACGAAGGAAGCUUGCUUCCAGGCGUCGAGUGGCGGACGGGUGAGUAAUGCUUGGGAAUCUGCCCAAUAGUGGGGGAAAACUCGGGGAAACUCGAGCUAAUACCGCAUAAGCUCUUUGGAGGAAAGGGGGCCUCUACAUGUAAGUUCUCGCUAAUGGAUGAGCCCAAGUCAGAUUAGCUUGUUGGUAAGGUAAUGGCUUACCAAGGCUACGAUCUGUAGCUGGUCUGAGAGGAUGAUCAGCCACACUGGGACUGAGACACGGCCCAGACUCCUACGGGAGGCAGCAGUGGGGAAUAUUGCACAAUGGGCGAAAGCCUGAUGCAGCAAUGCCGCGUGUGUGAAGAAGGCCUUAGGGUUGUAAAGCACUUUCAAUAGAGAAGAAAAGCUUGAGAACAAUACUUUCAAGUAUUGACGUAACCUAUAGAAGAAGCGCCGGCUAAUUCCGUGCCAGCAGCCGCGGUAAUACGGAAGGUGCGAGCGUUAAUCGGAAUUACUGGGCGUAAAGCGCGCGUAGGCUGUUAAAUAAGUCGUAUGUGAAAUCCCCGGGCUUAACCUGGGAACUGCAUCCGAAACUAUUUAACUAGAGUAUGGGAGAGGGAAGUAGAAUUUCCGGUGUAGCGGUGAAAUGCGUAGAUAUCGGAAGGAACCCAGUGG
This 681-nucleotide ribosomal RNA is filed under the name uncultured bacterium. Its description in RNAcentral is "bacterial SSU rRNA". It matches the Rfam family "Bacterial small subunit ribosomal RNA", at positions 44 to 715 of the family's 1533-position model. The record is from RNAcentral.